AUAAUCAAACUUUGGCUCUUACCCAAUCUUACCGGUUAACUCUGUUAACCCCAAUAACUCACAACCUAAAAUUCCUUAAUAACGGGGGACUCGAACCUCCCUAGGGACCGUCAACUGGUGGGACUUUACCACGCCCAGUGGUGACCAACUCCGGAGCGCACCGCUCGAGGGGGAGCGACCUCCCUCAAGCCAAGACGAAAGGUGAG
Molecule: long non-coding RNA, 206 nt
Filed under: Ananas comosus (pineapple)
Lineage: Eukaryota; Viridiplantae; Streptophyta; Magnoliopsida; Poales; Bromeliaceae
Description: long non-coding RNA (ACOM_LNC036366)
Source: RNAcentral